Homo sapiens (human) is the source of this 1844-nucleotide long non-coding RNA. Ensembl annotates it as long intergenic non-protein coding RNA 1194. The record is from Ensembl. Lineage: Eukaryota; Metazoa; Chordata; Mammalia; Primates; Hominidae.
AGCCCUGGUUCCCGCCUGCGCCUCUCCCUCCACACCGCCUUGCAAGCUGAGGGAGCCGGCUCCGGCCUCUGCCAGCCCAGGAAGGGGCUCCCACAGUGCAGCGGCGGGCUGAAGGACUCCUCAAGUGCCACCAAAGUGGGAGCCCAGGCAGAGGAGGCGCCGAGAGCGAGCGAGGGCUGCCUGCCAGCACGCUGUCACGUCUCAGCAAUAGACUGCUCUUGAGGCUGGAGUGCAAUGUUGUUAUCAUAGCUCACUGCAACCUGGAACCCCUAGUCUCAAGAGAUCCUCCAGCCUCAGCCUCCCUGUUCCAGGAUACAUGUGCAGGAUGUGCAAGUUUGCUACAUGGGUAAAUAUGUGCCAUGGCAGUUUGCUGCAUCUAUUAACCCAUUACCUAGGUAUUAAGCCCGAUACAAGAGUUAUGGAAAAGCUGCACUCUUCUACUUCCAAAGUUUAACUUCUUCACAGAAGUCAGUUUCAGAGUUGAGAAAAGCAAAUACUUGCUACAUAUUUUGAGGAACAAUAAGUAUUGAAGUUGCAAACAGGUUCUAUGGAUAUUUGUCAACAGAAGAUAGCUGAUCACAAAUGCGCAGAGAGGUAGAAAAAUGACACAAUGACCACCCUACCCUCUGAGUCAGCAAAUUGUUUUCUCAGUACAUUUCUACUCUGGUCCUUGUUUAAUAAAACCUCUUUCUCCUUACAGCUGCGUGCAGUAAUAUUUAUUAUUUAAAGUUCUUGUCUUCACCUUAACAAUCUUAGUUUCUGCUUUAAAAUAAUCUCUUAAAUAUUCAUAGGGAUUGCACAUGUUUUUCAGCUGCCAAUAAUUAUUAUUUACUAUACACUGUAUAGAUCUAAAUUUUAUGCAGAUUAUUCAGACAAUUUUUAAAAUAAUAGAUUCUGUCCUUCUUGUGACAGAAAAGUAAUUUCUUACCAAUGAUAAUAAAAGAUUUUUUGUGUAUUUGCUACAGUUAAGUUUUUUUAGAUAUUCCUGCUUUAAGAACUCUAAAUUAUUUGGAAUUUGCUUUUAUAAAUAAUGUGAAGUUGAGAUAUGGCAUAUUUUUUCUUCUAAGUUCAUAACUUAGAGUUCUAACUUCUUUUUCUGGCUGAUUUGAAAAUGGUGCAUUUUUAAUAUGGUAAAAACCUCCAUAUGCCUGUGUAUUUCUUCCAUAUUUUAUAUUAUUAUAUUUAUCUGUUCAUUCUCCCUUAUGAGAAAAAAUGUCACCUUUAACUACUAUGGGUUUUUAGCACAUAUAGGAUACAAUAUAAUUAAGCACAUUUAAAAAUAUUUUUUAAAUUCUCACUUAUUUUUUCUCAUGAAAUUUAAAAUUGAUUUGCCAAUUUUCUUUCAAUUUCCUUAAGUGUAUACAUAAUUUUGGCCUGUCUCCUAUGGUUUGUAUCACUACUUAUCCUAUUUUAAAAUUGUAAAACUUUUGUGGUUUUCUUAAUAUGGACUUUCCUAAUUUCUUACGAAGUUUAUUUCUACAUAAUUUAAAGUUUUAUAACUUUUGUGACUGGGAUUUGUUUUUCAUUGCAUUUCCUAAAUAGUAAUUUCUGUUACAUAGUCAAGCUAUUGAUUUUUGUUUCUCUAUGUAAAGAGUGCCUUACUAAUAUCCAGAUAUUCUAAUGACUUUCCUAGGGUUUUCAAAGCAGAUAAACCUUAUAUAAUAUAAUGCUUUUGUUCCAAUAUGUAUAACUCAAGCCAAAGCUUGAAAAAAUGAUUUUUAAAAGCAGCUAUGAAUGUGACUAUUUACAUCUAACUAUAUUUCUGCAUAUGUCUUAAAUAUUGAUAUUUAUUUUGACUUUCAUACUUCUAAACAUAUUCAAUAAAUAUCAUUUUGAUUCAUUUA